RNAcentral lists this ribosomal RNA (469 nucleotides) under uncultured bacterium. RNAcentral's name for it is "partial 16S ribosomal RNA". It matches the Rfam family "Bacterial small subunit ribosomal RNA", at positions 28 to 507 of the family's 1533-position model. The record is from RNAcentral.
GACGAACGCUGGCGGCGUGCUUAACACAUGCAAGUCGAACGGAAAGGCCCUGCUUUUGUGGGGUGCUCGAGUGGCGAACGGGUGAGUAACACGUGAGUAACCUGCCCUUGACUUUGGGAUAACUUCAGGAAACUGGGGCUAAUACCGGAUAGGAGCUCCUGCUGCAUGGUGGGGGUUGGAAAGUUUCGGCGGUUGGGGGAUGGACGUGCGGCUUAUCAGCUUGUUGGUGGGGUAGUGGCUUACCAAGGCUUUGACGGGUAGCCGGCCUGAGAGGGUGACCGGCCACAUUGGGACUGAGAUACGGCCCAGACUCCUACGGGAGGCAGCAGUGGGGAAUAUUGCACAAUGGGCGGAAGCCUGAUGCAGCAACGCCGCGUGCGGGAUGACGGCCUUCGGGUUGUAAACCGCUUUCGCCUGUGACGAAGCGUGAGUGACGGUAAUGGGUAAAGAAGCACCGGCUAACUACGUG